UACGGAGGAUGCGAGCGUUAUCCGGAUUUAUUGGGUUUAAAGGGUGCGCAGGCGGAGGUGCAAGUCAGCGGUCAAAUUGCGGGGCUCAACCCCGGCGAGCCGUUGAAACUGCCGUGCUAGAGAGGAAGAGAAGUAGGCGGAAUGCGCAGUGUAGCGGUGAAAUGCUUAGAUAUUGCGCAGAACUCCGAUUGCGAAGGCAGCCUACCGGCGCUCAACUGACGCUCAUGCACGAAAGCGUGGGUAUCGAACAGG
Molecule: ribosomal RNA, 252 nt
Filed under: uncultured Bacteroidales bacterium
Lineage: Bacteria; Pseudomonadati; Bacteroidota; Bacteroidia; Bacteroidales
Description: partial 16S ribosomal RNA
Rfam family: Bacterial small subunit ribosomal RNA
Source: RNAcentral